Molecule: RNA transcript, 4425 nt
Organism: Harpia harpyja (harpy eagle)
Lineage: Eukaryota; Metazoa; Chordata; Aves; Accipitriformes; Accipitridae
Gene: PPP1R2
Gene name: protein phosphatase 1 regulatory inhibitor subunit 2
Exons: 8
Source: RefSeq, a predicted model, not a curated record
UGGCCGAGGCGGCGGCGGAGGCCGGAAGCGGGCGGGCGGGUGGCGCGGCGAUGGAGGCGCCUUCGGUGCCGGCCGCCUCGACGUCGGGCGCGGCGGGGCGCGGGCCUAUCAAGGGCAUCCUGAAGAAGGGCGGCGGCAAGCUGUCGGGGGGGGGAGCGGCCCCCGGGGCGCGGCGGGCCAGCCCGGCCCGCGACGAGGACGAGCACGGUAAAAAAUCCCAGAAGUGGGAUGAAAUGAACAUCAUAGCUACAUACCACCCAGCAGGCAAAGAUUAUGGCUUGAUGAAAAUAGAUGAGCCAAGUACUCCUUAUCACAGCAUGGUAGGAGAAGAUGAUGAGGAUGCAGUGAGUGAUUCAGAAUCAAAUGAGCCCUUAAAAGCAGAUGUGUUGAGUAAAAAACUGGCAGCUGCAGCUGAAGGUAAAGGACCCAAGAUCAUAGCAAAGCAAGAGGAAAGCAGUGAGGAGGAGGAAGAGGAUGAAGAAUUAACACCUGAAGAACGAGAGAAAAAGAAACAGUUUGAAAUGAAGAGAAAAAUGCACUACAAUGAAGGACGAAACAUCAAACUGGCAAGACAGCUCAUUGCAAAGGAACUACAUGGUGAAGAAGAGGAGGAUGAGGAUGAGGAUGAAGAGAUGCAUGAUGCUGCAGAUGUAGAAACAAUGAAUACAGAAGCUACUGAACAUGGGGAAAGGAGGGCUCCAAUAGGCAACCUUAUGACCUUUCUCCAUGGCUUGAAGCUGCCAUCUCUCUGCACUCUGCUGUAAAACAGAGGCAACUCCGCUCCCCAGCUGCAUUCGCCAGUGGAAAGAAGGCACACCUUUGCAGCAUUUUUCCAUCUCUAUUGUUGAAGUCCAUUCCACCUUGCCUCAUAACCAGCUUCAGAGCCACAACUGACUGAGAUUUCUUGCUGAUUGAAAUGAAGAUGGCCAGUCCAGUCAGUAAUGCACAUGCUACUCGUGACCAGCUGGAAAGUAGAGCACACAGCAUAGAAGAAAUCUGUCCAGAACUGUAACUGCUUGUCAAAGUCACAAAUAUAAACAUCGCUUCAUGAUUUUUGCAAUUAAGGCUCUUAAAUAUUGAGAAGCAUAUCAGUUACAAUGUUGUAUUGCCAAGAAUGUUAAUUUUAGACUUGUCCAUUAGGCAGAAAAAACUGUCUAAUUGAUUUAUUCUUGUGCCUAGUAUUUCAUGGAGAAUACUGCUUCAUAAUCUGUUCAACCAGAAUGGCAUUCCCUGUAUGUAUAACACUGAUUAUCUUGCGUAAUAUACUGUUACUCUUCAUGCUUUGAAACAGACAGUAUCUUUUGGUUUUUCACUAUUUAUUUGACAGUGUUCUAGGUCUGGUAUCUGUUAUGGAAAGGUUUGGGAUUUAAGAGCCAAACGGUACAGCAUAUAUCAGAUUGACAUGCAAGCUAUUUAUCAGAUGUGUUGAGCAGUUUAAAAAGGGAUUAUUUAAGUCUUACAAUUUCUUUGUAAAGUGUUGACCUGUUAAUCUAGAUUUCAGUACGUUAUUACCUGUACUUCCCCAGUCUUUAGAAGAGCUGUAUUAUUUUUUAAGAGUGGUGUUUGGAAUCAGUUGUUAGUUUCUGACUAAGGCAAUACUAACAUCUGGUGGAGGGAAUGUUUUUACACUGGAAAUGUGUUAACUUGAACUUUGCAUUUAACCGUCAUUAUCUCUUCCAUCGGGACUGGAUGUUUUGUGGAGCUCUCUUUUGACUUAUCAUGAGAACAUGGAAGUUCCCUCCAACUUUUCUCUUAAAACCACAUCCACUGUCACUCUUCCAGCUCGUUUCAAACUUUUGGUCCUUUCCAGUUGCAUGAAGAGUGCUUGUGCUACUAGCACUUGAGGAAAAAUGCCCAACCAUGAGCAAAUCCACAUCAGGACUGUGAAGAUGAGCUGAGUUUAGGCUCUGGCUGUUCUUUAUGUAAAGAUAACUGCUGAUGAUCUCCUACUCAUUUGGGGUUGGCAACCUGCGUACUGAAAACCACUGGUCUAGCUCUUGCUGUACCCGUUGCAACUAACAGCAGCUGCUUUUGUAAAAUGAAGGCUGUUUGGAAGAAUGGAAGGGAAACUGCCUAAUUCAAAUACUUGUUUACAGUGUGGUUGUACAGCCCCUGUAAAGAGGGAUUCUGAACCUCCAAAUUGCUGUAAACAACUUCCCAUUUGGUGGAAUUUGACUGGUGAAUGUUCCAGUAUUCAGAGUAGUUCCUGGGUUUUAUUACACAAAUGAAGUAUACACUUAAGCUUUAGCUUGGUUAUGGAAUACAGUGUAUAUCUUAAUUUUGAUCUGAAUUUGAUAUGUUGCAAAAAUCCAUAUAAUUAUAUGGAUCUAUUUUAAAAUGUCUUUUUGUCCACUGUAUAUGUGAAGUUUGAAUAAAGGAAUGAAAGUUAUUUUACAGUUAUAUGCAUUCUCCAGUGUGAGCUUUCAUGAAAUCCCAGAGAGACUGAGAGUGAAUAAAGCAAUAAGAUGCUGUCCUUUGAGAGAUUUAUACAGAAAUAAUUGAUUAGAAUGGAUGCAUUGCCAAAGAUACCUGUGACUUGUGCUAAUUGGGUGUUGUAGUGUGCCUUUCCCAACUAUCUCUUCCCUUUAGUAGGUAACGGGGUUGUCAGUUGUGGGAUAUUUAGUCUUCUAAGGGCCUGAAUCAAGUUUAAUAGCAUCUUUUCACAAGAAAGAGUUGAACUCUUCAUUCAGUCCAGUGUGGUGAUGCUAAUUUUUCAAUAUGGAGAAUGCUAUUUCUUCUUGUAUCAAACAUGGUCACUUCUGUAGAACAAACAGGGGCAAAGAGUAAGCAUUUAGAUACUUCUGACUCCUGAAGUCGCUUACCAUAGCUUUAAAUUUGGCUCCCAAGAAUAGGACGUCAAAACUUAAAGUUUGCACCCUUUAUAUACCAGCUUGCAGUGUUCAGACUGUUGGAACGUCUGCACCAACCUGUAUUUCAAAGUGACCAGCUGAUGGCCUGGUCUCCCCCAGCUAGGCCAGUUAAGUCCUAUUGAGAGAGUGGCAGCACUCAGCAAUCAGACUGGAGCACAAAUGGGUCAAGAUUUGACCAAUGUGUAUGGGUAAUGCAGAUGUCUUCUGCGAUGCUGUAAAACAGAUUACUUGCACUUUGUGAUGAGUACAAGUGGGUACUUUGUACCUGCAAUUAAGGCAGAAUCCAUCAGAAGCAGCUCUUAUAUGAGUUGCUGUCCUGCCUUCCUUCCCCCCGCCCUCCCCGCCAUGUUCUGUGUCCAAGACCUCAUUUUCAUUUUGGUGCUCAGCAGGGGUAUUUUGUACCCUACAAUGCCUGCAAAGCAUUUUGUUUAACAAACAAAAAAACCCUUUGCUAAUUUCUAGUAAAGACCUUCCCUGUAAUAGCUUCCAAAAUCCUGGAUGAAAUGGGUAUGUAGUUUUCAGGGAGGUACAGUAUAUGUAGAUCCAUGAAGAUGGUUUUAAAUGAACCUCAGAAUGUACAGCAGGUCCCUUCAUUAGUCGGAUGAUUUUGAGCUGUCUGGGUGAUCCCGCCUUUUCCGUGCGACCAAGCUCCCAAGUUUUAGUUAGAUGCCAUUUUGGAACUUGUACUUGUUUUAGUUAUGGGUUUUAUUAAAGGCUUUGUUCUCCUCUUCAUUCUCUUCAGUGCUAGCAAAAAUUCUGUUCGUGCUGCUUCAUCUCACUCACUUGGGGUGCAACCUGAUGUACCUGACACUGCUUUUAACUGAAAGGCUGGUUUACUUGAUUUUAUCCAGGCUUAUACCUUCAUGCAUUUUAAAAGCUAAAAUAGGCAAGCUGACUUUGCAGUAACUACAGAUACUCUGUAUGGCUUUUUUUACAAAGGGAUGUCUGAUUUCCUUCUAUUCUGGAAUAGCAAUUAUAGUUCCCUGCUGAAUGGGGACAAGAGAAGAAAUGCCUUUUCUCUUUUUACAUUUGACGGGGACUUAGCUUGCAUGCAUGUCUUAAUCAUGAGGUGCAUAUGGUAAACGCUCAUUCGUACAGUAGAGUGGUGUAAAGAGAAAACAAAAGACAUGCAGCCCUUACUAAUGCGGACAUUGAGCUCCACAGCGUCAUCAUUGUGAAGCUUCUUGCACAGGUUUAAGUCCUCAAGCUGCACCCUGUUUAGAGAAAAUAUUUUCAAUAUGUUUCCAAUAGGAAGAUCACUUGCAAAUAAGAGCCUUAACUCCAUCUUUAUAAAGUUUUUUUCUGUUCUUAAAGUUUCUUUCACACCGAGUUGUACACAGUUCAUGGAAACAGCAAAUAUUUUUUUCCACAGCUUGCUCUCUCAUGUUAAAUUUGUGUAUCUUACCAGAACUCUUUGUUUCUGUAUCAUGCUUUUUGUGGUGUUUAUUAUGAUACCACCUCACAAAUGUAAUUAUUCUGUUUGAAACCAGUGUUAAGUGUCACAACGUAAAUAAAACCAUUGUUUUCAUUAGUGCCUUAUGGCACUAAUACUAGA